Non-coding RNA from Oryza nivara, 209 nucleotides. NCBI's taxonomy places the organism in Eukaryota, Viridiplantae, Streptophyta, Magnoliopsida, Poales, Poaceae. The record is from Rfam.
AAUAAGUGCAGUUUUGCACUAUUCAUGUUCAACGUUUGAACGUUCAUCUUAUUUAAAUUUUUUUUAUGAUUAGUAUUUUUAUUGCUAUUAGAUGAUAAAACAUGAAUAGUACUUUAUGUGUGACUAAAUAUUUUUAAAAUUUUUCACAAAUUUUUCAAAUAAAACGGACGGUCAAACGUUUGGCACGGAUAUCUACAGCUGCACUUAUU